CUACGGGGGGCUGCAGUGGGGAAUAUUGCACAAUGGGCGCAAGCCUGAUGCAGCCAUGCCGCGUGUAUGAAGAAGGCCUUCGGGUUGUAAAGUACUUUCAGCGGGGAGGAAGGGAGUAAAGUUAAUACCUUUGCUCAUUGACGUUACCCGCAGAAGAAGCACCGGCUAACUCCGUGCCAGCAGCCGCGGUAAUACGGAGGGUGUAAGCGUUAAUCGGAAUUACUGGGCGUAAAGCGCACGCAGGCGGUUUGUUAAGUCAGAUGUGAAAUCCCCGGGCUCAACCUGGGAACUGCAUCUGAUACUGGCAAGCUUGAGCCUCGUAGAGGGGGGUAGAAUUCCAGGUGUAGCGGUGAAAUGCGUAGAGAUCUGGAGGAAUACCGGUGGCGAAGGCGGCCCCCUGGACGAAGACUGACGCUCAGGUGCGAAAGCGUGGGGAGCAAACAGGAUUAGAUACCCGGGUAGUC
Molecule: ribosomal RNA, 464 nt
Filed under: uncultured bacterium
Lineage: Bacteria
Description: partial 16S ribosomal RNA
Rfam family: Bacterial small subunit ribosomal RNA
Source: RNAcentral